RNAcentral lists this ribosomal RNA (465 nucleotides) under Vreelandella stevensii. Its description in RNAcentral is "partial 16S ribosomal RNA". It matches the Rfam family "Bacterial small subunit ribosomal RNA", at positions 338 to 795 of the family's 1533-position model. Lineage: Bacteria; Pseudomonadati; Pseudomonadota; Gammaproteobacteria; Oceanospirillales; Halomonadaceae. The record is from RNAcentral.
CCUACGGGGCGCUGCAGUGGGGAAUAUUGGACAAUGGGCGAAAGCCUGAUCCAGCCAUGCCGCGUGUGUGAAGAAGGCCUUCGGGUUGUAAAGCACUUUCAGUGGGGAAGAAAGCCUUGGGGCUAAUACCCUCGAGGAAGGACAUCACCCACAGAAGAAGCACCGGCUAACUCCGUGUCAGCAGCCGCGGUAAUACGGAGGGUGCGAGCGUUAAUCGGAAUUACUGGGCGUAAAGCGCGCGUAGGCGGUCUGAUAAGCCGGUUGUGAAAGCCCCGGGCUCAACCUGGGAACGGCAUCCGGAACUGUCAGGCUAGAGUGCAGGAGAGGAAGGUAGAAUUCCCGGUGUAGCGGUGAAAUGCGUAGAGAUCGGGAGGAAUACCAGUGGCGAAGGCGGCCUUCUGGACUGACACUGACGCUGAGGUGCGAAAGCGUGGGUAGCAAACAGGAUUAGAUACCCGUGUAGUC